GACGAACGCUGGCGGCGUGCUUAACACAUGCAAGUCGAACGGAAAGGCCCUGCUUUUGUGGGGUGCUCGAGUGGCGAACGGGUGAGUAACAAGUGAGUAACCUGCCCUUGACUUUGGGAUAACUUCAGGAAACUGGGGCUAAUACCGGAUAGGAGCUCCUGCUGCAUGGUGGGGGUUGGAAAGUUUCGGCGGUUGGGGAUGGACUCGCGGCUUAUCAGCUUGUUGGUGGGGUAGUGGCUUACCAAGGCUUUGACGGGUAGCCGGCCUGAGAGGGUGACCGGCCACAUUGGUACUAAGAGACGGCCCAGACUCCUACGGGAGGCAGCAGUGGGGAAUAUUGCACAAUGGGCGGAAGCCUGAUGCAGCAACGCCGCGUUCGGGAUGACGUCCUUCGGGGUGUAAACCGCUUUCGCCUUUGACGAAGCGUAAGUGACGGUAAUGGGUAAAGAAGCACCGGCUAACUACGUG
RNAcentral lists this ribosomal RNA (468 nucleotides) under uncultured bacterium. Its description in RNAcentral is "partial 16S ribosomal RNA". It matches the Rfam family "Bacterial small subunit ribosomal RNA", at positions 28 to 507 of the family's 1533-position model. The record is from RNAcentral.